Long non-coding RNA from Juglans regia (Persian walnut), 768 nucleotides. RefSeq lists it as uncharacterized. The record is from RefSeq and is a predicted model, not a curated record. The transcript is spliced from 4 exons. NCBI's taxonomy places the organism in Eukaryota, Viridiplantae, Streptophyta, Magnoliopsida, Fagales, Juglandaceae.
AGGAUUUUUAAAGUGUUUCAGAUUACGUUCACUGCGAUGUGUGUUUUGAAAUUAAAGUUUAAAUUUUCUAGUCUCCGAACCUCAUCACUUGGUUAGCCGCUGUUUGACAAAUUCAAAUCACCAAUCCGUAAGUUCAUCCACUUUGUUUCAAAUUUGAAACCCUGCCGUAGUGUGUAAAUUCGAGUCCUAGUAGGAGUCUAACUCUCAUUAGAAAAACCCUAUCAGAUAGCUUUUCUACCGUCUUUAUAAAUCCAUCUAGAAUAUCUGAUUCAAACACAAGAAAAAUACAAAGAAAACUCACUUGUUUUGGAGUUCUCUUCUCUGACCCGCAGCCAACCACUUCUUCUCGCAGUAACUCCACGCCACUCAGAGGCGCGGGACUCCCUUCCGGCGUCACAGACGGUGCCGACCAGCCCAGCCCUAGCUCAGCCACCUCUUUUCCGAGACCCUCCUGUCGCGUCGCCGGUCGCUCCCUGCAGCCCAGCGCCGCCGUCGCCCUCAGCCCCUCUCGGUCUCAAGUUACGAAGUAUUAUUCAAGAAGAAACGCAUCGAGAUCAUGGCCCCCGGUACUAGAAAUCACCCAACACGAGAGGGAUCUUCUGGUUCUAACCAGAAUGAUAACCCGGACCAUCUGGUCGCAGCUGCUACCCAAUUCUUUCAAUCUAUGGUUAGCGGCCAAUUUAUGGCGCCUAGAGCUCCACAAGCCGGUUGUACUUUGGAGCAAUUUUCUCGUCAGCAUCCUCCUACGUUUGAUGGCAGAUUGAAUUC